UCUGGUUGAUCCUGCCUGAACUGAUGUGUUCAUUUCAAAGAUUAAGCCAUGCAUGUAUAAGUAUAAUCUGCCAGUCAGAGAAACUGCGUACGGCUCAUUACACCAGCCUUAAUUUACUUGACCUUGACACCCUACUUGGAUAACUGUGGUAAUUCUAGAGCUAAUACAUGCACCAAAGCUCCAAUCUCCCCAGAGCGGAGCGCAUUUGUUCGCCACAAAACCAAGCGCCUCAGGGCGUUCAGUGUUGACUCAGAACAACUAAGCUGAUCGCACGGUCUUGCACCGGCGACGUGUCUUUCAAGUGUCUGCCUUAUCAACUUUCGAUGGUAGUGUAUCUGACUACCAUGGUGAUGACGGGUAACGGAGGAUAAGGGUUCGACUCCGGAGAAGGGGCCUGAGAAAUGGCCACUACGUCUAAGGAUGGCAGCAGGCGCGCAAAUUACCCACUCUCGACGCGAGGAGGUAGUGACGAGAAAUAACGAGACCGUUCUCAUCUGAGGCCGGUCAUCGGAAUGGGUACAAUUUAAACCCUUUAACGAGUAUCUAUGAGAGGGCAAGUCUGGUGCCAGCAGCCGCGGUAAUUCCAGCUCUCAAAAAAAGCUCUCAAAAGCGCGCCGGGCGUGAGGCGCAGAUCCUCUAUGGAUCGGUAAUUAAGUACCGCUAGUGCCAGUGGGGGGAUCAAAGUCAAAUCGUCUUAGGUUACGGAUUGGCUCCCGACCCAUAAGUGCUAAGGCCUUUGGGCUCAUGGUAAGCGCCGGGCGGGUAAGGCGACUUAUAAAGUUCCGCUAUAUGUUAGGAAGGCAUCCAGCAUUAGUGGUCGCCACCUUUUCCACUUGUAAUUCUAGGCAUGUAGUUCAUAAGUUAAGAUGAACAACAAACGCUUUGUGAAGAAGGCAUUUGAGCCUAGCAUCGUCGUGCCGCCCCUGUCCUUCACCUUUGACCAGUUCUUCAAGGGUGUGACCAUUGAGGAGGGUCGCGUGAUGGUGGACGUGGACGCGCAUGUCCAAAAGCUCGUGCGUGUGAAGAACGCCUGGCUCCAUUCAUCUAGGAAGCGCCAGGUGAGGAGUACUCGUUGCCUUCUUUACUCCUCUGUGUAAGGGCGAGUCGGGGAGCAGUGGCACCUCGUCGAGCUUGAGCGCAGGGGACGUGGAGAAGAUCGUGAACGAGAAGCUGGAGGCCGAGCGAGCGGAGGCCAAGCA
RNAcentral lists this ribosomal RNA (1199 nucleotides) under Rotylenchulus reniformis. RNAcentral describes it as "bacterial SSU rRNA". The stretch from base 2 to 601 matches the Rfam family "Eukaryotic small subunit ribosomal RNA", at positions 4 to 605 of the family's 1831-position model. Lineage: Eukaryota; Metazoa; Nematoda; Chromadorea; Rhabditida; Hoplolaimidae. The record is from RNAcentral.